GCACUCACGAGGCUGGCUGUGGCAAGUGUAAGUGAAAGCAACACGCACUGGCAGGAAGAACAGCAAACGCCGAUGAAGGAAAAGGGUCUUUGCAGUGAUGGGCGUUACCAGAGAGGGCGAUGGCCAGAGGACAUAAAUGGGACGGGGAGGCAGCACGUUGGGGGGGGGGACGCGACACGGCUCGGGCCCGCCAGUGCCCCAACGGGGUCCUAGUUCUUUGUUUCUUUUUUCUUUUUCCUCCCCUUUGAACUGGAAAAUGGCCCACUUCCCACUGGCGAAAACUCAGGAAAUUUGGCAGGACGACCGGGCCUGGUGAAAAAUUCGAUAUUCUGAAGUCGCCCAAACAAUAAAAUGCAAAAUGGCUCCAUAGCGCCCCCUAAGGUGAAAAUUCACAUGACGGCUGUACGCUUUGUCAUAUUGACACAAAAAUUGACACACAUAUGUAUCUCAAUAAGAUCUACAAAAAAGUCAGUGCGGGCGUAUUUGUCAAAUGUACGGUUAAAGGGUUAUUUCGCAUUUUUUGCCGAUCCGCACACAUUGGAAUUUCGCUAACUCCUCCGAAGGCUUUCGUUCCACCGGCACCACAUUUGCUCAGGCCAAUCUACACCCCAUGGCCAUUAAAAGUUAUUCAAAUCAUGACGCUGCACCCCACGGUUUAGGUUCUAGGGGGCGCCAAAAAUAACCCUAAAAUCCACAUAUUUAAAAGUCUUAUAACUUUUUAUUUUUGUCCUCACUGGCCUCCAAGUUUUCUAGGAUGAUGCAAUGUCCAGCCAUCAACACAUCUGUGAAGGAAUUUUUACUCGCCAAAAGAGCGCCCCCCCAUGGCAGGAGAAAAAAGUCCAUUUUUUCUUGUCCCCUAAGGUGAAAAUACACAUUGUUGAGUGUCACGCCUGUACGCUUUGGCAAAAUGACACAAAAAUUGACACACACAUGUAUCUCAAUAAGAUCUACAAAAAAGUCCAUGCGCGCGUAUCUGUCAAAUGUACGGUUAAAGGGUUAUUCCGCAUUUUUUGCCGAUACGCACACAUUGGAAUUUCGCUAACUCCUCCGAAGGCUUUCGUUCCACCGGCACCACAUUUGCUCAGGCCAAUCUACACCCCAUGGCCAUUAAAAGUUAUUCAAAUCAUGACGCUGCACCCCACGGUUUAGGUUCUAGGGGGCGCCAAAGAUAACCCUAAAAUCCACAUAUUUAAAAGUCUUAUAACUUUUUAUUUUUGUCCUCACUGGCCUCGAAGUUUUCUAGGAUGAUGCAAUGUCCAGCCAUCAACACAUUUGUGAAGGAAUUUUUACUCCCCAAAAGAGCGCCCCCCCAUGGCAGGAGAAAAAAGUCCAUUUUUUCUUGUCCCCUAAGGUGGAAAUUCACACUAUUGACUGUCACGCCUGUACGCUUUGUCAUAUUGACACAAAAAUUGACACACACAUGUAUCUCAAUAAGAUCUACAAAAAAGUCCAUGCGCGCGUAUCUGUCUAAUGUACGGUUAAAGGGUUAUUUGGCAUUUUUUGCCGAUUCGCACACAUUGGAAUGUGGCUAUCUCCUCCUAAGGCUUUCGUCCCACCGAUACCAAAUUUGCUCAGGGCAAUCUACACCCCAUGCCCAUUCAAAGUUGUAAAAAUCAUGGCGCUGCACCCUACGGUUUACGUUCUAGGGGGCGCCAAAGAUGACCCAAAAAUCCACAUUCUUAAAAGUCAUUUUGGCCACUGCAGGAGUACAGAGUACUGCAGUUCUAGGGGGCGCCAAAGAUGACCCAAAAAUCCACAUUCUUAAAAGUCUUUUUGGCCACUGCAGGAGUACAGAGUACUGCAGGAUACACACACAUAUACACACACGCCAACAUACACACACACACACACACACACACACACACACACACUCAGAGUCUGUUUUUUAGCACCUGCAAAAACAUGCUGUUUACAUAUUUGACAAGAAUGCAGAGGCUUCCUUUUGCCCCUGAAAAAAAUCAAAUUUCAAACACAACUUGACUGUUCAUUUCUCCAAAAGACAACCAUGAAGCUCCAUCCAAACCUGAAGCAGAUAGUUGGUGCAUGUGUACAGUAACCUGAGGGGAGUGAGGUGACUAUUUCUGAGGAGAACAUGAGCAGUGAAGAUUCACCUUGGAGCUAGAACAGGGACGUGCACAUGAUUAUACAGGGGCAGGGGCUCAAGUUUUCCAGUCAUUUAUACAAUAUGGAAAUUAAUGUGAAAUUAAACCACAAAUAUGUGUGAUGAACUGUUUUUAAAACUUAAACUUCAAAUAAAAAUUGUAAACUUCAAAACAUAUGCAAAUUUUUAACAAAGAACAUAGUAAUUUACCUCUAUUUUCAUCAAAAUGCAGGCAAUGGCCCAGGCGUUCUUUGUAAAAUUAUUUACAAAACACUGUAUAGUCUCACAAAUGUCACUUUUUAUUUAUGCCACUACAAAAAAACAUGAUGUAAAUGAUGCAUGAUGUAAAACAUGAUGUAAAAAACUUGUGUAGAUCCUCCUCUAUGUUAGUCCAUGUGUAAUUUUUCCAUAAUUCUUUGUUUUUUGCAGCAUUUUUGUUAGUGUAACUGCAGAUUGUGCUGACAGUGUCUAUGGCAAAAAAAAAAAAAAAACUGAAAAUGCCUCAACAUGAACCCCUGGUGGUCUCUGAGGGUGAAACCUGCUAACUGCUGCAGCUCUGUCAGCUUUAGUCUCCCAUGCAGAGCUCGGAGCGCAUGUGUGGCUCUGCACCCUUAGCAGCGUUGCUAACUCCUCAGUAAGGAAAGCCUGCUUCAUGUCAGAGUCUCUAAACUCCAGAAGAAGUCGAUAAAAGUCCCUUUCUUUCUAAAAAAAGUCGUUAGGGGGUCUGAAAAGUCAUUGAAUCUAACAACAAAGUCGCUAGGUUUGCAACUACGUGUCCCAGACUGCAUCCCUGCUGAGAGUCCCUCCCUCGCUUCUCAUGUUGCAGGAAGAACGUAAGCGCCCGCCCCUUGUCAAUCAGUCACCAUAUAAUUUUGGAUUGGUUGUUGUGGUGAAGUUUUCCACCAAUAGGAGAGAUGUUGUGGUGUGUUUUUUUUUUCUUUUGGCAAGCCUUUUCCGCCUGUAAGAGCUGUCGCUAAUGUCUGCAUGCUAUGUUUUCCUGUCUCAUACAGCGCGAUCGAGCGCCGAACGUGAUCAAAAUAAGCAGAAAAAAAGUAUCGCGGACAUAAUUUAUCAUAACUCUGGUUUUAUUUGGCCUAUCAACACAAUUUAAAAACUGGUAUAUAGGUUGAGGUCCUCACUUUUGAGAUAAGUUGAAACGGAGAGUCAACGAGGCUCCGUCUUGCAGCUACAUCCGGUUAAAUAUGUCAUGUGACUUGAACGCACACACAGACACACACACACGCACACGCACACACACACACACACACACACUCACUCAGAGUCUGGUUUUAAGCACCUGCAAAAACAUGCUAUUUACAUAUUUGACAAGAAUGCAGAGGCUCCUUUUGCCCCUGAAAAAAAUCAAAUUUCAAACACAACUUGACUGCUCAUUUCUCCAAAAGACAACCAUGAAGCUCCAUCCAAACCUGAAGCAGGCAGUUGGUGCAUGUGUACAGUAACCUGAGGGGAGUGAGGUGAGUGCUUCUGAGGAGAACAUGAGCAGUGAAGAUUCACCUUGGAGCUAGAACAGAGACAUGCACAUGAUUAUACAGGGGCAGGGGCUCAAGUUUUUUCCAGUCGUUUAUACAAUAUGGAAAUUAAUGUGAAAUUAAAACACAAAGUAUUAAUAGAAAGGUAAUGACUGUCCUGUGUAGGUGACAGUGAUAUCCAAUAGGCUAGGCACUCACGAGGCUGGCUGUGGCAAGUGUAAGUGAAAGCAACACGCACUGGCAGGAAGAACAGCAAACGCCGAUGAAGGAAAAGGGUCUUUGCAGUGAUGGGCGUUACCAGAGAGGGCGAUGGCCAGAGGACACAAAUGGGACGGGGAGGCAGCACGUUGGGGGGGGGACGCGACGCGGCUCGGGCCCGCCAGUGCCCCAACGGGGUCCUAGUCUUUGUUUCUUUUUUCUUUUUCCUCCCCUUUGAACUGGAAAAUGGCCCACUUCCCACUGGCGAAAACUCAUGAAAUUUGGCAGGACGACCGGGCCUGGUGAAAAAUUUGAUAUUCCGAAGUCGCCCAAACAAUAAAAUGCAAAAUGGCUCCAUAGCGCCCCCUAAGGUGAAAAUACACAUGACGGCUGUACGCUUUGUCAUAUUGACACAAAAAUUGACACACACAUGUAUCUCAAUAAGAUCUACAAAAAAGUCAGUGCGGGCGUAUCUGUCAAAUGUACGGUUAAUGGGUUAUUUUGCAUUUUUUGCAGAUCUGCACACAUUGGAAUUUCGCUAACUCCUCCGAAGGCUUUCGUUCCACCGGCACCACAUUUGCUCAGGCCAAUCUACACCCCAUGGCCAUUAAAAGUUAUUCAAAUCAUGACGCUGCACCCCACGGUUUAGGUUCUAGGGGGCGCCAAAAAUAACCCUAAAAUCCACAUAUUUAAAAGUCUUAUAACUUUUUAUUUUUGUCCUCCCUGGCCUCCAAGUUUUCUAGGAUGAUGCAAUGUCCAGCCAUCAACACAUCUGUGAAGGAAUUUUUACUCCCCAAAAGAGCGCCCCCCAUGGCAGGAGAAAAAAGUCCAUUUUUUCUUGACCCCUAAGGUGAAAAUACACAUUGUUGAGUGUCACGCCUUUACGCUUUGGCAAAAUGACACAAAAAUUGACACACACAUGUAUCUCAAUAAGAUCUACAAAAAAGUCUAUGAGCGCGUAUCUGUCAAAUGUACGGUUAAAGGGUUAUUCCGCAUUUUUUGCCGAUACGCACACAUUGGAAUUUCGCUAACUCCUCCGAAGGCUUUCGUUCCACCGGCACCACAUUUGCUCAGGCCAAUCUACACCCCAUGGCCAUUAAAAGUUAUUCAAAUCAUGACGCUGCACCCCACGAUUUAGGUUCUAGGGGGCGCCAAAAAUAACCCUAAAAUCCACAUAUUUCAAAGUCUUUUAACUUUUUAUUUUUGUCCUCACUGGCCUCCAAGUUUUCUAGGAUGAUGCAAUGUCCAGCCAUCAACACAUUUGUUAAGGAAUUUUUACUCCCCAAAAGAGCGCCCCCCAUGGCAGGAGAAAAAAGUCCUUUUUUUCUUGUCCCCUAAGGUGAAAAUACACAUUGUUGAGUGUCACGCCUAUACGCUUUGUCAUAUUGACACAAAAUUUGACAAUCACGUGCCUUGCCUGGUAUCAUUUUUUUCAGCACAACCUCACCUGUGCGAAUUUACAGUUAUUUUAUCAUGUUGACAUACUGAAUUUACACAAUGGACCAAAAUUCACACACAAAACAUAAAAUCCGAGUGGAAAAAAGUAACGUUUUUACUGUGAAAACCACAAAUAUGUGUGAUGAACUGUUUUUAAAACUUAAACUUCAAAUAAAAAUUGUAAACUUCAAAACAUAUGCAAAUUUUUAACAAAGAACAUAGUAAUUUACCUCUAUUUACAUCAAAAUGCAGGCAAUGGCCCAGGUGUUCUUUGUAAAAUUAUUUACAAAACACUGUAUAGUCUCACAAAUGUCACUUUUUAUUUAUGCCACUACAAAAAAACAUGAUGUAAAUGAUGCAUGAUGUAAAACAUGAUGUAAAAAACUUGUGUAGAUCCUCCUCUAUGUUAGUCCAUGUGUAAUUUUUCCAUAAUUCUUUGUUUUUUGCAGCAUUUUUGUUAGUGUAACUGCAGAUUGUGCUGACAGUGUCGAUGGCAAAAAAAAAAAAAAAAAAACUGAAAAUGCCUCAACAUGAACCCCUGGUGGUCUCUGAGGGUGAAACCUGCUAACUGCUGCAGCUCUGUCAGCUUCAGUCUCCCAUGCAAAGCUCGGAGCGCAUGUGUGGCUCUGCACCCUUAGCAGCGUUGUUAACUCCUCAGUAAGGAAAGCCUGCUUCAUGUCAGAGUCUCUAAACUCCAGAAGAAGUCGAUAAAAGUCACUUUCUUUCUAAAAAAAAGUCGUUAGGGGGUCUGAAAAGUCAUUGAAUCUAACAACAAAGUCGCUAGGUUUGCAACUACGUGUCCCAGACUGCAUCCCUGCUGAGAGUCCCUCCCUCCCUUCUCAUAUUGCAGGAAGAACGUAAGCGCCCGCCCCUUGUCAAUCAGUCACCAUAUAAUUUUGGAUUGGUUGUUGUGGUGAAGUUUUCCACCAAUAGGAGAGAUGUUGUGGUGUGUUUUUUUUUUCCUUUGGCAAGCCUUUUCCGCCUGUAAGACCUGUCGCUAAUGUCUGCAUGCUAUGUUUUCCUGUCUCAUACAGCGCGAUCGAGCGCCGAACGUGAUCAAAAUAAGCAGAAAACAAGUAUCGCGGACAUAAUUUAUCAUAACUCUGGUUUUAUUUGGCCUAUCAACACAAUUUAAAAACUGGUAUAUAGGUUGAGGUCCUCACUUUUGAGAUAAGUUGAAACGGAGUCAACGAGGCUCCGUCUUGCAGCUACAUCCGGUUAAAUAUGUCAUGUGACUUGAACGCACACACACACACACACAGACACACACACACACGCACACACACACACUCAGAGUCUGGUUUUUAGCACCUGCAAAAACAUGCUAUUUACAUAUUUGACAAGAAUGCAGAGGCUCCUUUUGCCCCUGAAAAAAAUCAAAUUUCAAACACAACUUGACUGGUCAUUUCUCCAAAAGACAACCAUGAAGCUCCAUCCAAACCUGAAGCAGGCAGUUGGUGCAUGUGUACAGUAACCUGAGGGGAGUGAGGUGACUGCUUCUGAGGAGAACAUGAGCAGUGAAGAUUCACCUUAGAGCUAGAACAGAGACGUGCACAUGAUUAUACAGGGGCAGGGGCUCAAGUUUUUUCCAGUUGUUUAUACAAUAUGGAAAUUAAUGUGAAAUUAAAAAACAAAGUAUUAAUAGAAAGGUAAUGACUGUCCUGAGUAGGUGACAGUGAUAUCCAAUAGGCUAGGCACUCAAGAGGCUGGCUGUGGCAAGUGUAAGUGAAAGCAACACGCACUGGCAGGAAGAACAGCAAACGCCGAUGAAGGAAAAGGGUCUUUGCAGUGAUGGGCGUUACCAGAGAGGACGAUGGCCAGAGGACACAAAUGGGACGGGGAGGCAGCGCGUUGGGGGGGGGACGCGACACAGCUCGGGCCCGCCAGUGCCCCAACGGGGUCCUAGUUUGUUAUUAUUAUUAUUAUUAGGGCCCGAGCGUAGCUGCUAAGCAGCUGCGAGAGCCCUCUUGUUCCUGAUGGAUUCUUCUUUCGUUAUUUUUCCUCCGCUUUAAACUGGAAAAUGGCCCACUUCCCACUGGCGAAAACUCAGGAAAUUUGGCAGGACGACCGGGCCUGGUGAAAAAUUCGAUAUUCUGAAGUCGCCCAAACAAAAAAAUGCAAAAUGGCUCCAUAGCGCCCCCUAAGGUGAAAAUUCACAUGACGGCUGUACGCUUUGUCAAAAUGACACAAAAAUUGACACACACAUGUAUCUCAAUAAGAUCUACAAAAAAGUCAGUGCGGCCGUAUCUGUCAAAUGUACGGUUAAUGGGUUAUUUCGCAUUUUUUGCAGAUCUGCACACAUUGGAAUUUCGCUAACUCCUCCGAAGGCUUUCGUUCGACCGGCACCACAUUUGCGCAGGCCAAUCUACCCCCCAUGGCCAUUAAAAGUUGUACAAAUCAUGAUGCUGCAUCCCACGGUUUAGGUUCUAGAGGGCGCCAAAGAUAACCCAAAAAUCCACAGUCUUAAAAGUCUUAUAACUUUUUAUUUUUGUCCUCACUGGCCUCCAAGUUCUCUAGGAUGAUGCAAUGUCCAGCCAUGAACACAUUUGUGAAGGAAUUUUUACUCCCCAAAAGAGCGCCCCCCCAUGGCAGGAGAAAAAAGUCCAUUUUUUCUUGUCCCCUAACAUGAAAAUACACAUUGUUGAGUGUCACGCCUGAACGCUUUGUCAUAUUGACACAAAAUUUGACAAUCACAUGUAUCUCAAUAAGAUCUACGAAAAAGUCAAAGAGCGCGUAUCUGUAUAAUGUACGGUAAAAGGGCUAUUUUGCAUUUUUUGGCGAUUCGCACACAUUGGAAUUUCGCUAAGUCCUCCGAAGGCUUUCGUUCGACCGGCACCACAUUUGCGCAGGCCAAUCUACCCCCCAUGGCCAUUAAAAGUUGUACAAAUCAUGACGCUGCACCCCACGGUUUACGUUCUAGGGGGCGCCAAAGAUAACCCAAAAAUCCACAUUCUUAAAAGUCUUAUAACUUUUUACUUUUGUCCUCACUGGCCUCCAAGUUUUCUAGGAUGAUGCAAUGUCCAGCCAUCAACACAUUUGUGAAGGAAUUUUUACUCCCCAAAAGAGCGCCCCCCAAUGGCAGGAGAAAAAGGUCCAUUUUUUCUUGUCUCCUAAGGUGAAAAUACACAUUGUCGAGUGUCACGCCUGUAUGCUUUGUCAUAUUGACACAAAAUUUAACAAUCACGUGAAUCUCAAUAAGAUCUACGAAAAAGUCAAAGGGCAUGUAUCUGUCAAAUGUACGGUUAAAGGGCUAUUUUGCAUUUUUUGCCGAUCAGCACACAUUGGAAUGUGGCUAACUCCUCCUAAAGCUUUCGUCCCACUGACACCACAUUUGCUCAGGCAAAUCUACACCCCAUGGCCAUUCAAAGUUGUACAAAUCAUGACACUGCACCCCACGGUUUACGUUCUAGGGGGCGCCAAAGAUAACCCAAAAAUCCACAUUCUUAAAAGUCUUAUAACUUUUUAUUUUUGUCCUCACUGGCCUCCAAGUUUUCUAGGAUGAUGCUAUGUCCAGCCAUCAACACAUGUGUGAAGGAAUUUUUACUCCCCAAAAGAGCGCCCCCCCAUGGCAGGAGAAAAAAGUCAAGAUUUUCUUGUCCCCUAACAUGAAAAUACACAUUGUUGAGUGUCACGCCUAAACGCUUUGUCAUAUUGACACAAAAAUUGACACACACGUGUAUCUCAAUAAGAUCUACGAAAAAGUCAAAGAGCGCGUAUCUGUAUAAUGUACGGUUAAAGGUUUAUUAGGGCCCGAGCCAGCUGCAGAGCAGCCGGGCGUAGAGCCCUAUUAUUCCUGUAUAGGUUUUUCUUUCUUCUUUCUUUCUUUCUUUCUUUCUUUCUUCUUAUUUUUCCUCCCCUUUGAAGGGGAAAAUGGCCCACUUCCCAUUGGCGAAAACUCAGGAAAUUUGGCAGGACGACCGGGCCUGGUGAAAAAUUCGAUAUUCUGAAGUUGCCCAAACAAUAAAAUGCAAAAUGGCUCCAUAGCGCCCCCUAAGGUGAAAAUUCACACUAUUGACUGUCACGCCUGUCCGCUUUGUCAUAUUGACACAAAAAUUGACACACACGUGUAUCUCAUAACGGUCUACCAAAAAGUCAGCGCGGACGCAUCUGUGAAAUGUACGGUUAGAGGGUUAUUUCGCAUUUUUUGCAGAUCUGCACACAUUGGAAUUUCGCUAACUCCUCCGAAGGCAUUCGUUCCACCGGCACCACAUUUGCUCAGGCCAAUCUACACCCCAUGGCCAUUAAAAGUUGUACAAAUCAUGACGCUGCACCCCACGGUUUAGGUUCUAGGGGGCGCCAAAGAUAACCCAAAAAUCCACAGUCUUAAAAGUCUUAUAACUUUUUAUUUUUGUCCUCACUGGCCUCCAAGUUCUCUAGGAUGAUGCAAUGUCCAGCCAUCAACACAUUUGUGAAGGAAUUUUUACUCCCCAAAAGAGCGCCCCCCCAUGGCAGGAGAAAAAAGUCCAUUUUUUCUUGUCCCCUAAGGUGAAAAUACACAUUGUAGAGUGUCACGCCUGUACGCUUUGUCAAAAUGACACAAAAUUUGACAUACACGUGUAUUUCAAUAAGAUCUUCGAAAAAGUCAAUGGCCACGUAUAUGUAAAAUGUACAGUUAAAAGGUUAUUUCACAUUUUUUGCCGAUCCGCACACAUUGGAAUGUGGCUAACUCCUCCGAAGGCUUUCGUCCCACUGACACCAAAUUUGCUCAGGCCAAUCUACACCCCAUGGCCAUUCAAAGUUGUAAAAAUCAUGACGCUGCACCCCACGGUUUACGUUCUAGGGGGCGCCAAAGAUGACCCAAAUAUCCACAUUCUUAAAAGAAUCCACAUCCCCCCCCAUCCCCCAUCCCCCAUGGCAGGAGAAACAGUCAAGUUUUUCCUUCCCAUCACUCAAUGGCUCAAUCGCAUCACUCUCCCGGCAACACCGUAACGAGGAGCAACUUGCCGUUUGGAUAUAUCCUAGCUGUGUUUGUGCCCUCACUCAUGGUCCAGACUUUUUUCAAAUAGGACAUGUAGUUUGUCUGCAGCGAGUGUUUUGGUAGAAACUGCGCCUCCCAUUCAUUAUAAUGGGAAAUGACCACAGACAAGUGCGCACACCAUCUUUGGACCUUGAGUGUGACGCGAUCGGGAGGGGGAGGCGGUCGCGCUGGGGGCGGCGCAACGCGGCUCGGGCCCGACAGUGCCCCACCGGGGUCCUAGUUAGGGCCCGAGCGUAGCUGCUAAGCAGCUGCGAGAGCCCUCUUGUUCCUGCAUGUUUCCUUCUUUCGUUAUUAUUUUUCCUCCGCUUUAAACUGGAAAAUGGCCCACUUCCCACUGGCGAAAACUCAGGAAAUUUGGCAGGACGACCGGGCCUGGUGAAAAAUUCGAUAUUCUGAAGUCGCCCAAACAAUAAAAUGCAAAAUGGCUCCAUAGCGCCCCCUAAGGUGAAAAUUCACAUGACGGCUGUACGCUUUGUCAUAUUGACACAAAAAUUGACACACACAUGUAUCUCAAUAAGAUCUACAAAAAAGUCAGCACGGGCGUAUCUGUCAAAUGUACGGUUAAUGGGUUAUUUUGCAUUUUUUGCAGAUCUGCACACAUUGGAAUUUCGCUAACUCCUCCGAAGGCUUUCGUUCGACCGGCACCACAUUUGCGCAGGCCAAUCUACCCCCCAUGGCCAUUAAAAGUUGUACAAAUCAUGACGCUGCACCCCACGGUUUACGUUCUAGGGGGCGCCAAAAAUAACCCAAAAUCCACAUUCUUAAAAGUCUUAUAACUUUUUAUUUUUGUCCUCACUGCCCUCCAAGUUUUCUAGGAUGAUGCAAUGUCCAGCCAUAAACACAUUUGUGAAGGAAUUUUUACUCCCCAAAAGAGCGCCCCCCCAUGGCAGGAGAAAAAAGUCCUUUUUUUCUUGUCCCCUUACAUGAAAAUACACAUUGUUGAGUGUCACGCCUGAACGCUUUGUCAUAUUGACACAAAAAUUGACAAUCAUGUGUAUCUCAAUUAGAUCUACGAAAAAGUCAAAAAGCGCGUAUCUGUAUAAUGUACGGUUAAAGGGCUAUUUCGCAUUUUUUGCCGAUUCGCACACAUUGGAAUGUGGCUAACUCCUCCUAAGGCUUUCGUCCCACUGACACCAAAUUUGCUCAGUCCAAUCUACACCCCAUGGCCAUUCAAAGUUGUAAAAAUCAUGACGCUGCACCCCACGGUUUACGUUCUAGGGGGCGCCAAAGAUGACCCAAAAAUCCACAUUCUUAAAAGUCAUUUUGGCCACUGCAGGAGUACAGAGUACUGCAGUUCUAGGGGGCGCCAAAGAUGACCCAAAAAUCCACAUUCUUAAAAGUCUUUUUGGCCACUGCAGGAGUACAGAGUACUGCAGGAUACACACACAUAUACACACACACACACACACACACACACACACACACUCAGAGUCUGUUUUUUAGCACCUGCAAAAACAUGCUGUUUACAUAUUUGACAAGAAUGCAGAGGCUUCCUUUUGCCCCUGAAAAAAAUCAGAUUUCAAACACAACUUGACUGUUCAUUUCUCCAAAAGACAACCAUGAAGCUCCAUCCAAACCUGAAGCAGAUAGUUGGUGCAUGUGUACAGUAACCUGAGGGGAGUGAGGUGACUAUUUCUGAGGAGAACAUGAGCAGUGAAGAUUCACCUUGGAGCUAGAACAGGGACGUGCACAUGAUUAUACAGGGGCAGGGGCUCAAGUUUUUUCCAGUCAUUUAUACAAUAUGGAAAUUAAUGUGAAAUUAAACCACAAAUAUGUGUGAUGAACUGUUUUUAAAACUUAAACUUCAAAUAAAAAUUGUAAACUUCAAAACAUAUGCAAAUUUUUAACAAAGAACAUAGUAAUUUACCUCUAUUUACAUCAAAAUGCAGGCAAUGGCCCAGGCGUUCUUUGUAAAAUUAUUUACAAAACACUGUAUAGUCUCACAAAUGUCACUUUUUAUUUAUGCCACUACAAAAAAACAUGAUGUAAAUGAUGCAUGAUGUAAAACAUGAUGUAAAAAACUUGUGUAGAUCCUCCUCUAUGUCAGUCCAUGUGUAAUUUUUCCAUAAUUCUUUGUUUUUUGCAGCAUUUUUGUUAGUGUAACUGCAGAUUGUGCUGACAGUGUCUAUGGCACAAAAAAAAAAAAAAAUUUAAAAUGCCUCAACAUGAACCCCUGGUGGUCUCUGAGGGUGAAACCUGCUAACUGCUGCAGCUCUGUCAGCUUCAGUCUCCCAUGCAGAGCUCUGAGCGCAUGUGUGGCUCUGCACCCUUAGCAGCGUUGCUAACUCCUCAGUAAGGAAAGCCUGCUUCAUGUCAGAGUCUCUAAACUCCAGAAGAAGUCGAUAAAAGUCCCUUUCUUUCUAAAAAAAGUCGUUAGGGGGUCUGAAAAGUCAUUGAAUCUAACAACAAAGUCGCUAGGUUUGCAACUACGUGUCCCAGACUGCAUCCCUGCUGAGAGUCCCUCCCUCCCUUCUCAUGUUGCAGGAAGAACGUAAGCGCCCGCCCCUUGUCAAUCAGUCACCAUAUAAUUUUGGAUUGGUUGUUGUGGUGAAGUUUUCCACCAAUAGGAGAGAUGUUGUGGUGUGUUUUUUUUUUCUUUUGGCAAGCCUUUUCCGCCUGUAAGACCUGUCGCUAAUGUCUGCAUGCUAUGUUUUCCUGUCUCAUACAGCGCGAUCGAGCGCCGAACGUGAUCAAAAUAAGCAGAAAAAAAGUAUCGCGGACAUAAUUUAUCAUAACUCUGGUUUUAUUUGGCCUAUCAACACAAUUUAAAAACUGGUAUAUAGGUUGAGGUCCUCACUUUUGAGAUAAGUUGAAACGGAGAGUCAACGAGGCUCCGUCUUGCAGCUACAUCCGGUUAAAUAUGUCAUGUGACUUGAACGCACACACAGACACACACACACGCACACACACACACACACACACACACACACACACACACACUCAGAGUCUGGUUUUUAGCACCUGCAAAAACAUGCUAUUUACAUAUUUGACAAGAAUGCAGAGGCUCCUUUUGCCCCUGAAAAAAAUCAAAUUUCAAACACAACUUGACUGGUCAUUUCUCCAAAAGACAACCAUGAAGCUCCAUCCAAACCUGAAGCAGGCAGUUGGUGCAUGUGUACAGUAACCUGAGGGGAGUGAGGUGAGUGCUUCUGAGGAGAACAUGAGCAGUGAAGAUUCACCUUGGAGCUAGAACAGAGACAUGCACAUGAUUAUACAGGGGCAGGGGCUCAAGUUUUUUCCAGUCGUUUAUACAAUAUGGAAAUUAAUGUGAAAUUAAAACACAAAGUAUUAAUAGAAAGGUAAUGACUGUCCUGUGUAGGUGACAGUGAUAUCCAAUAGGCUAGGCACUCACGAGGCUGGCUGUGGCAAGUGUAAGUGAAAGCAACACGCACUGGCAGGAAGAACAGCAAACGCCGAUGAAGGAAAAGGGUCUUUGCAGUGAUGGGCGUUACCAGAGAGGGCGAUGGCCAGAGGACACAAAUGGGACGGGAAGGCAGCACGUUGGGGGGGGGGGGGACGCGACACAGCUCGGGCCCGCCAGUGCCCCAACGGGGUCCUAAUUAGGGCCCGAGCGUAGCUGCUAAGCAGCUGCGAGAGCCCUCUUGUUCCUGAUGGAUUCUUCUUUCGUUAUUUUUCCUCCGCUUUAAACUGGAAAAUGGCCCACUUCCCACUGGCGAAAACUCAGGAAAUUUGGCAGGAUGACCGGGCCUGGUGAAAAAUUUGAUAUUCUGAAGUUGUCCAAACAAAAAAAUGAAAAAUGGCUCCAUAGCGCCCCCUAUGGUGAAAACUCACCUGAUGCCUGUACGCUUUGUCAAAAUGACACAAAAUUUGACACACAUGUGUAUCUCAAUAAGAUCUACGAAAAAGUCAGUGUGGGCGUAUCUGUCAAAUGUACGGUUAAAGGGCUAUUUCGCUUUUUUUGCCGAUCCGCACACAUUGGAAUUUCGCUAACUCCUCCAAAGGCUUUCGUUCCACCGGCACCAAAUUUGCUCAGGCCAAUCUACACCCCAUGGCCAUUAAAAGUUGUACAAAUCAUGACGCUGCACCCCACGGUUUAGGUUCUAGGCGGCGCCAAAGAUAACCCAAAAAUCCACAUUCUUAAAAGUCUUAUAACUUUUUAUUUUUGUCCUCACUGGCCUCCAAGGUUUCUAGGAUGAUGCAAUGUCCAGCCAUAAACACAUUUGUGAAGGAAUUUUUACUCCCCAAAAGAGCGCCCCCCCAUGGCAGGAGAAAAAAGUCCAUUUUUUCUUGUCUCCUAAGGUAAAAAUACACAUUGUUGAGUGUCACGCCUAUACACUUUGUCAUAUUGACACACAAUUUGACAAUCACGUGUAUCUCAAUAAGAUCUACAAAAAAGUCAAUAGGCACGUAUCUGUCAAAUGUACGGUUAAAGGGCUAUUUUGCAUUUUUUGCCGAUUCGCACACAUUGGAAUGUGGCUAUCUCCUCCUAAGGCUUUCGUCCCACUGAUACCAAAUUUGCUCAGGGCAAUCUACACCCCAUGCCCAUUCAAAGUUGUAAAAAUCAUGACGCUGCACCCCACGGUUUACGUUCUAGGGGGCGCCAAAGAUGACCCAAAAAUCCACAUUCUUAAAAGUCUUUUUGGUCACUGCAGGAGUACAGAGUACUGCAAGAUACACACACAUACACACACACACACACACACACACACACACACACACACACACACACACACACACACACUCAGAGUCUGUUUUUUAGCACCUGCAAAAACAUGCUGUUUACAUAUUUGACAAGAAUGCAGAGGCUUCCUUUUGCCCCUGAAAAAAAUCAAAUUUCAAACACAACUUGACUGUUCAUUUCUCCAAAUGACAACCAUGAAGCUCCAUCCAAACCUGAAGCAGGCAGUUGGUGCAUGUGUACAGUAACCUGAGGGGAGUGAGGUGACUGCUUCUGAGGAGAACAUGAGCAGUGAAGAUUCACCUUGGAGCGAGAACAGGGACGUGCACAUGAUUAUACAGGGGCAGGGGCUCAAGUUUUUUCCAGUCGUUUAUACAAUAUGGAAAUUAAUGUGAAAUUAAAAAACAAAGUAUUAAUAGAAAGGUAAUGACUGUCCUGUGUAGGUGACAGUAAUAUCCAAUAGGCUAGGCACUCACGAGGCUGGCUGUGGCAAGUGUAAGUGAAAGCAACACGCACUGGCAGGAAGAACAGCAAACGCCGAUGAAGGAAAAGGGUCUUUGCAGUGAUGGGCGUUACCAGAGAGGACGAUGGCCAGAGGACGCGAAUGGGACGGGGAGGCAGCGCGUUGGGGGGGGGGCGCGACACAGCUCGGGCCCGCCAGUGCCCCAACGGGGCCCUAGUUAGGGCCCGAGCGUAGCUGCUAAGCAGCUGCGAGAGCCCUAUUAUUCCCCAAGUGGUUUUUCUUUGUUUCUUUCUUUCUUCUUUUUCCUCCCCUUUGAACUGGAAAAUGGCCCACUUCCCACUGGCGAAAACUCAUGAAAUUUGGCAGGAUGACCGGGCCUGGUGAAAAAUUUGAUAUUCCGAAGUCGCCCAAACAAGAAAAUGCAAAAUGGCUCCAUAGCGCCCCCUAAGGUGAAAAUUCACACUAUUGACUGUCACGCCUGUACGCUUUGUCAAAAUGACACAAAAAUUGACACACAUAUGUAUCUCAAUAAGAUCUACAAAAAAGUCAGUGCGGGCGUAUCUGUCAAAUGUACGGUUAAAGGGUUAUUCCGCAUUUUUUGCUGAUCCGCACACAUUGGAAUUUCGCUAACUCCUCCUAAGGCUGGCGUUCCACCGGCACCACAUUUGCUCAGGCCAAUCUACACCCCAUGGCCAUUAAAAGUUAUUCAAAUCAUGACGCUGCACCCCACGGUUUAGGUUCUAGGGGGCGCCAAAGAUAACCCUAAAAUCCACAUAUUUAAAAGUCUUAUAACUUUUUAUUUUUGCCCUCACUGGCCUCCAAGUUUUCUAGGAUGAUGCAAUGUCCAGCCAUCAACACAUUUGUGAAGGAAUUUUUACUCCCCAAAAGAGCGCCCCCCCAUGGCCGGAGAAAAAAGUCAAUUUUUUCUUGUCCCCUAAGGUGAAAAUACACAUUGUUGAGUGUCACGCCUUUACGCUUUGUCAUAUUGACACAAAAUUUGACACACACAUGUAUCUCAAUAAGAUCUACGAAAAAGUCAAUGCGCGCAUAUCUGUCAAAUGUACGGUUAAAGGGUUAUUCCGCAUUUUUUGCUGAUCCGCACACAUUGGAAUUUCGCUAACUCCUCCUAAGGCUGGCGUUCCACCGGCACCACAUUUGCUCAGGCCAAUCUACACCCCAUGGCCAUUAAAAGUUAUUCAAAUCAUGACGCUGCACCCCACGGUUUAGGUUCUAGGGGGCGCCAAAGAUAACCCUAAAAUCCACAUAUUUCAAAGUCUUAUAACUUUUUAUUUUUGUCCUCACUGGCCUCCAAGUUUUCUAGGAUGAUGCAAUGUCCAGCCAUCAACACAUUUGUGAAGGAAUUUUUACUCCCCAAAAGAGCGCCCCCCCAUGGCAGGAGAAAAAAGUCAAUUUUUUCUUGUCCCGUAAGGUGAAAAUUCACAUUGUUGAGUGUCACGCCUUUACGCUUUGUCAUAUUGACACAAAAUUUGACACACACAUGUAUCUCAAUAAGAUCUACGAAAAAGUCAAUGCGCGCAUAUCUGUCAAAUGUACGGUUAAAGGGUUAUUCCGCAUUUUUUGCUGAUCCGCACACAUUGGAAUUUCGCUAACUCCUCCUAAGGCUGGCGUUCCACCGGCACCACAUUUGCUCAGGCCAAUCUACACCCCAUGGCCAUUAAAAGUUAUUCAAAUCAUGACGCUGCACCCCACGGUUUAGGUUCUAGGGGGCGCCAAAGAUAACCCUAAAAUCCACAUAUUUCAAAGUCUUAUAACUUUUUAUUUUUGUCCUCACUGGCCUCCAAGUUUUCUAGGAUGAUGCAAUGUCCAGCCAUCAACACAUUUGUGAAGGAAUUUUUACUCCCCAAAAGAGCGCCCCCCCAUGGCAGGAGAAAAAAGUCAAUUUUUUCUUGUCCCGUAAGGUGAAAAUUCAUAUUGUUGAGUGUGACACCUGUACGCUUUGUCAUAUUGACACAAAAUUUGACAAUCACGUGUAUCUCAAUAAGAUCUACGAAAAAGUCAAUGGGUGCGUAUCUGUCAAAUGUACGGUUAGAGGGCUAUUUUGCAUUUUUUGCCGAUUCGCACACAUUGGAAUGUGGCUAACUCCUCCUAAGGCUUUCGUCCCACUGAAACCAAAUUUGCUCAGGCCAAUCUACACCCCAUGGCCAUUCAAAGUUGUAAAAAUCAUGACGCUGCACCCCACGGUUUACGUUCUAGGGGGCGCCAAAGAUGACCAAAAAAUCCACAUUCUUAAAAGAAUCCACAUUCUCCCCCCCCAUGGUAGGAGAAAAAGUCAAGUUUUUCCUGCCCAUCGCUCAAUGGCUCAAUCGCAUCGCUCUCCAGGCAACACCGUAACGAGGAGCAACCUGCCAUUUGGAUAUAUCCCAGCUGUGUUUGUGCCCUCACUCAUGGUCCAGACUUUUUUCAAAUAGGACAUGAAGUUUGUCUGCAGCGAGUGUUUUGGUAGAAACUGCGCCUCCCAUUCAUUAUAAUGCGAAAUGACCACAGACAAGUGCGCACACCAUCUUUGGACCUUGAGUGUGACGCGAUCGGGAGGGGGAGGCGGUCACGCUGGGGGCGGCACGACGUGGCUCGGGCCCGACAGUGCCCCACCGGGGCCCUAGUUAUUAUUUUUCCUCCCCUUUGAACUGGAAAAUGGCCCACUUCCCACUGGCGAAAACUCAUGAAAUUUGGCAGGACGACCGGGCCUGGUGAAAAAUUUGAUAUUCCGAAGUCGCCCAAACAAGAAAAUGCAAAAUGGCUCCAUAGCGCCCCCUAAGGUGAAAAUUCACACUAUUGACUGUCACGCGUGUACGCUUUGUCAAAAUGACACAAAAAUUGACACACACAUGUAUCUCAAUAAGAUCUACAAAAAAGUCAGUGCGGGCGUAUCUGUCAAAUGUACGGUUAAAGGGUUAUUGCGCAUUUUUUGCCGAUCCGCACACAUUGGAAUUUCGCUAACUCCUCCGAAGGCUUUCGUUCCACCGGCACCACAUUUGCUCAGGCCAAUCUACACCCCAUGGCCAUUAAAAGUUAUUCAAAUCAUGACGCUGCACCCCACGGUUUAGGUUCUAGGGGGCGCCAAAGAUAACCCUAAGAUCCACAUAUUUAAAAGUCUUAUAACUUUUUAUUUUUGCCCUCACUGGCCUCCAAGUUUUCUAGGAUGAUGCAAUGUCCAGCCAUCAACACAUUUGUGAAGGAAUUUUUACUCCCCAAAAGAGCGCCCCCCCAUGGCAGGAGAAAAAAGUCCAUUUUUUCUUGUCCCCUAAGGUGAAAAUACACAUUGUUGAGUGUAACACCUGUACGCUUUGGCAAAAUGACACAAAAAUGACACAAAAAUUGACACACACAUGUAUCUCAAUAAGAUCUACGAAAAAGUCAAUGCGCGCGUAUCUGUCAAAUGUACGGUUAAAGGGUUAUUCCGCAUUUUUUGCCGAUCCGCACACAUUGGAAUUUCGCUAACUCCUCCGAAGGCUUUCGUUCCACCGGCACCACAUUUGCUCAGGCCAAUCUACACCCCAUGGCCAUUAAAAGUUAUUCAAAUCAUGACGCUGCACCCCACGGUUUAGGUUCUAGGGGGCGCCAAAGAUAACCCUAAAAUCCACAUUUUUCAAAGUCUUAUAACUUUUUAUUUUUGUCCUCACUGGCCUCCAAGUUUUCUAGGAUGAUGCAAUGUCCAGCCAUCAACACAUUUGUGAAGGAAUUUUUACUCCCCAAAAGAGCGCCCCCCCAUGGCAGGAGAAAAAAGUCAAUUUUUUCUUGUCCCCUAAGGUGGAAAUUCACACUAUUGACUGUCACGCCUGUACGCUUUAUCAUAUUGACACAAAAAUUGACACACAUAUGUAUCUCAAUGAGAUCUACAAAAAAGUCAAUGCGCGCGUAUCUGUCAAAUGUACGGUUAAAGGGCUAUUUUGCAUUUUUUGCCGAUUCGCACACAUUGGAAUGUGGCUAACUCCUCCUAAGGCUUUCGUCCCACUGACACCAAAUUUGCUCAGGCCAAUCUACACCCCAUGGCCAUUCAAAGUUGUAAAAAUCAUGACGCUGCACCCCACGGUUUACGUUCUAGGGGGCGCCAAAGAUGACCCAAAAAUCCACAUUCUUAAAGGAAUCCACAUCCCCCCCCCCCCCCCCAAGGCAGGAGAAAAAGUCAAGUUAACCCUGCCCAUCGCUCAAUGGCUCAAUCGCAUCGCUCUCCAGGCAACACCGUAAGGAGGAGCAACCUGCCAUUUGGAUAUAUCCCAGCUGUGUUUGUGCCCUCACUCAUGGUCCAGACUUUUUUCAAAUAGGACAUGAAGUUUGUCUGCAGCGAGUGUUUUGGUAGAAACUGCGCCUCCCAUUCAUUAUAAUGCGAAAUGACCACAGACAAGUGCGCACACCAUCUUUGGACCUUGAGUGUGACGCGAUCGGGAGGGGGAGGCGGUCGUGUGGGGGCGGCGCGACGCGGCUCGGGCCCGACAGUGCCCCAACGGGGUCCUAGUUAGGGCCCGAGCGUAGCUGCUAAGCAGCUGCGAGAGCCCUCUUGUUCCUGCAUGUUUCCUUCUUUUGUUAUUAGGGCCCGAGCGUAGCUGCUAAGCAGCUGCGAGAGCCCUCUUGUUCCUGAUGGAUUCUUCUUUCGUUAUUUUUCCUCCGCUUUAAACUGGAAAAUGGCCCACUUCCCACUGGCGAAAACUCAGGAAAUUUGGCAGGACGACCGGGCCUGGUGAAAAAUUCGAUAUUCUGAAGUCGCCCAAACAAUAAAAUGCAAAAUGGCUCCAUAGCGCCCCCUAAGGCGAAAAUUCACACUAUUGACUGUCACGCCUGUACGCUUUGUCAUAUUGACACAAAAACUGACACACACGUGUAUCUCAAUACGGUCUAUGAAAAAGUCAGCGCGGGCGCAUCUGUGAAAUGUACGGUUAGAGGGUUAUUUCGCAUUUUUUGCCGAUCUGCACACAUUGGAAUUUCGCUAACUCCUCCGAAGGCAUUCGUUCCACCGGCACCACAUUUGCUCAGGCCAAUCUACACCCCAUGGCCAUUAAAAGUUGUACAAAUCAUGACGCUGCACCCCACAGUUUACGUUCUAGGGGGCGCCAAAGAUAACCCAAAAAUCCACAGUCUUAAAAGUCUUAUAACUUUUUAUUUUUGUCCUCACUGGCCUCCAAGUUCUCUAGGAUGAUGCAAUGUCCAGCCAUCAACACAUUUGUGAAGGAAUUUUUACUCCCCAAAAGAGCGCCCCCACAUGGCAGGAGAAAAAAGUCCAUUUUUUCUUGUCCCCUAAGGUGAAAAUACACAUUGUUGAGUGUCACGCCUAUACACUUUGUCAUAUUGACCCAAAAUUUGACAAUCACGUGUAUCUCAAUAAGAUCUACGAAAAAGUCAAUGGGCACGAUCUGUAAAAUGUACGGUUAAAGGGUUAUUUCGCAUUUUUUCCCGAUCCGCACACAUUGGAAUUUCGCUAACUCCUCCUAAGGCUUUAGUUCCACCGCCACCAAAUUUGCUCAGGCCAAUCUACACCCCAUGGCCAUUAAAAGUUGUACAAAUCAUGACGCUGCACUCCAGAGUUUAGGUUCUAGGGGGCGCCAAAGAUAACCCAAAAAUCCACAGUCUUAAAAGUCUUAUAACUUUUUAUUUUUGUCCUCACUGGCCUCCAAGUUUUCUAGGAUGAUGCAAUGUCCAGCCAUCAACACAUUUGCAAAGGAAUUUUUACUCCCGAAAGAGCGCCCCCCCAUGGCAGGAGAAAAAAGUCCAUUUUUUCUUGUCCCCUAAGGUGAAAUAACACAUUGUUGACUGUCACGCCUAUGCGCUUUGUCAAAAUGACACAAAAUUUGACACACACGUGUAUCUCAAUAAGAUCUACGAAAAAGUCAAUGGGCACGUAUCUGUAAAAUGUACGGUUAAAGGGCUAUUUCGCAUUUUUUGCCGAUUCGCACACAUUGGAAUGUGGCUAACUCCUCCUAAGGCUUUCUUCCCACCAACACCAAAUUUGCUCAAGCCGAUCUACAUCCCAUGGCCAUUCAAAGUUGUAAAAAUCAUGCCGCUGCACCCCAUGGUUUACGUUCUAGGGGGCGCCAAAGAUGACCCAAAUAUCCACAUUCUUAAAAGAAUCCACACCCCCCCCCACCAAGGCAGGAGAAAAAGUCCAGUUAACCCUGCCCAUCGCUCAAUGGCUCAAUCGCAUCGCUCUCCUGGCAACACCGUAAGGAGGAGCAACUUGCCAUUUGGAUAUAUCCUAGCUGUGUUUGUGCCCUCACUCAUGGUCCAGACUUUUUUCAAAUAGGACAUGUAGUUUGUCUGCAGCGACCGUUUUGGUAGAAACUGCGCCUCCCAUUCAUUAUAAUGGGAAAUGACCACAGACAAGUGCGGACACCAUCUUUGGACCUUGAGUGUGAUGCGAUCGGGAGGGGGAGGCGGUCGCGCUGGGGGCGGCGCGACGCGGCUCGGGCCCGACAGUGCCCCACCGGGGCCCUAGUUAGGGCCCGAGCGUAGCUGCUAAGCAGCUGCGAGAGCCCUCUUGUUAGGGCCCGAGCGUAGCUGCUAAGCAGCUGCGAGAGCCCUCUUGUUCCUGUAGUUUCCUUCUUUUGUUAUUAUUAGGGCCCGAGCGUAGCUGCUAAGCAGCUGCGAGAGCCCUCUUGUUCCUGCAUGUUUCCUUCUUUUGUUAUUAUUAUUUUUCCUCCCCUUUGAACUGGAAAAUGGCCCACUUCCCACUGGCGAAAACUCAUGAAAUUUGGCAGGACGACCGGGCCUGGUGAAAAAUUUGAUAUUCCGAAGUCGCCCAAACAAGAAAAUGCAAAAUGGCUCCAUAGCGCCCCCUAAGGUGAAAAUUCACACUAUUGACUGUCACGCGUGUACGCUUUGUCAAAAUGACACAAAAAUUGACACACACAUGUAUCUCAAUAAGAUCUACAAAAAAGUCAGUGCGGGCGUAUCUGUCAAAUGUAUGGUUAAAGGGUUAUUUCGCAUUUUUUGCCGAUCCGCACACAUUGGAAUUUCGCUAACUCCUCCGAAGGCUUUCGUUCCACCGGCACCACAUUUGCUCAGGCCAAUCUACACCCCAUGGCCAUUAAAAGUUAUUCAAAUCAUGACGCUGCACCCCACGGUUUAGGUUCUAGGGGGCGCCAAAGAUAACCCUAAGAUCCACAUAUUUAAAAGUCUUAUAACUUUUUAUUUUUGCCCUCACUGGCCUCCAAGUUUUCUAGGAUGAUGCAAUGUCCAGCCAUCAACACAUUUGUGAAGGAAUUUUUACUCCCCAAAAGAGCGCCCCCCCAUGGCAGGAGAAAAAAGUCCAUUUUUUCUUGUCCCCUAAGGUGAAAAUACACAUUGUUGAGUGUAACACCUGUAUGCUUUGGCAAAAUGACACAAAAAUUGACACACACAUGUAUCUCAAUAAGAUCUACGAAAAAGUCAAUGCGUGCGUAUCUGUCAAAUGUACGGUUAAAGGGUUAUUCUGCAUUUUUUGCCGAUCCGCACACAUUGGAAUUUCGCUAACUCCUCCGAAGGCUUUCGUUCCACCGGCACCACAUUUGCUCAGGCCAAUCUACACCCCAUGGCCAUUAAAAGUUAUUCAAAUCAUGACGCUGCACCCCAAGGUUUAGGUUCUAGGGGGCGCCAAAGAUAACACUAAAAUCCACAUAUUUAAAAGUCUUAUAACUUUUUAUUUUUGUCCUCACUGGCCUCCAAGUUUUCUAGGAUGAUGCAAUGUCCAGCCAUCAACACAUUUGUGAAGGAAUUUUUACUCGCCAAAAGAGCGCCCCCCCAUGGCAGGAGAAAAAAGUCCAUUUUUUCUUGUCCACUAAGGUGAAAAUACACAUUGUUGAGUGCUACGCCUGUAUGUUUUGUCGUAUUGACACAAAAUUUUACAUACACGUGUAUUUCAAUAAGAUCUUCGAAAAAGUCAAUGGCCACGUAUCUGUAAAAUGUACGGUUAAAGGGUUAUUUCGCAUUUUUUGCAGAUUCGCACACAUUGGAAUUUCGCUAAAUCCUCCGAAGGCUUUCGUUCCACCGGCACCACAUUUGCUCAGGCCAAUCUACACCCCAUGGCCAUUAAAAGUUAUUCAAAUCAUGACGCUGCACCCCAAGGUUUAGGUUCUAGGGGGCGCCAAAGAUAACACUAAAAUCCACAUAUUUAAAAGUCUUAUAACUUUUUAUUUUUGUCCUCACUGGCCUCCAUGUUUUCUAGGAUGAUGCAAUGUCCAGCCAUCAACACAUUUGUGAAGGAGUUUUUUCUCGUUAAAAGAGCACCCCCCCAUGGCAGGAGAAUAAAGUCAAGUUUUUCCUGUUCAUCAUUCAAUGGCUCAAACGCACUGCUCUCUCGGCAAAAGCGAAAGGAGGAGCAACUUGCCAUUUGGAUAUAUCUUAGCUGUGUUUGUGCCCUCACUCAUGGUCCAGACUUUUUUCAAAUAGGACAUGGAGUUUUUCUGCAGCGAGCGUUUUGGUAGAAACUGCGCCUCCCGUUCAUUAUAAUGGUAAAUGACCACAAACAAGUGCGCAUACCAUCUUUGGACCUUCAGUGUGACGCGAUCGGGUGGGGGAGGCGGUCGCGCUGAGGGCGGCGUGACAUGGCUCGGGCCCUCCAGUGCCCCAACGGGGCCCUAGUUAUUAUUUUUCCUCCCCUUUAAACUGGAAAAUGGCCCACUUC
This is a non-coding RNA of Xyrichtys novacula (pearly razorfish), 23917 nucleotides long. Lineage: Eukaryota; Metazoa; Chordata; Actinopteri; Labriformes; Labridae. The record is from the annotation of a GenBank genome assembly.